Molecule: unclassified non-coding RNA, 589 nt
Filed under: Hevea brasiliensis (rubber tree)
Lineage: Eukaryota; Viridiplantae; Streptophyta; Magnoliopsida; Malpighiales; Euphorbiaceae
Source: RNAcentral
GGAUGGGCAGAUAUACUCCACACCAAACAAGCCUACUUGAAAUGGAGCGCAAUGGUGUCCUUGCUCUGCUUCCAGUGGCGUUCACAGUUGUGGCCAUCUUUGCCAUCAGCACCAUUGUCACUGCAGAGCAGUUGCGCAGCCAAGAGGACGACAACUACGUAGGAAUCAACAAGGGGAUCCAGCCGUGCUGUAACCAGUGUGGUUUCUGCACGAAGUCCUUUCCUCCACUGUGCACCUGCCAUGAUGAGAUGUAUAUCUGCCCAUCCUGGUGCAAGAACUGCAAGAUGUCGCCGAAGAGGAUCUAUCCGCCGCUAUACAUUUGUCAGGAUCUCAUUGUCAACUACUGCGAUCACAACUGUGGCUUGGAAGGCGGAGCUGCCACAUCUGAGUAACUAGCUGCGACUAUACGCAGCAGUUUGGCCGGUGACCAUAUGGUUAAGUGACGGUCUAUCUACUAGGAGUGGAUAGCCUCUCUUCCAUCAUUUGCGUAGUGCUGCGAAUAAGUGUCACCCUAUCUAUAAAGAGCGUGUCGUGGUGGGGAUAUCUCCCCUCCAUUUGCUUUUUGUAUUAAGUGUUAUUUCAAUGUGAU